CAGACGCGGCAGAGAGGGGCAGGUCUUACUGGCGUGGAGACUGUACAAGGGCACUUUUCCUUACAACCCCCAACAGCCGCGACCCUAAGGCUUCCACGGCCCGGAGCCGCUCCCGCGCCGCGCGCCUCCCUCCCAGUCCGCCGCUCCCGCGCCCGGAUUCCCCAAAGGGCCGCCCAGGUCGCCCUCGAGUCCCCGCCCCCCGUUUCCCCGUCGGCCUUAUCCCUCCGGGAGUACCGCUGGGCUGCAGUUCUCUGGUUUUAAUAAAACCCGAGUGGCCCCGGGCUAGCGGGCUUUCCUCCGGGAGGCAGAGGCGGGGAGAGGAAGGGAAAAAAGGAAAGGCCGGAGGGUCCCCUCACCGCCCUCCCUGAGCUCCGCGUGGGGCGAGGGCGGGCGCGCCCUGGCUCUCGGUGCCGACCCGACCCGCGACCCCGCAGAGGCUCUCUGAACUCAGUCAGGUUUUGUUCUGCCCGAAGAAAGCACUCGCUCUCCCAGACGGCGCUUCCCUGGACCUCCCAUCCGCGAGUUCGUCCCGACAGGGCGGGCGGACCCGAGCUUACAGACCCAUCCCUGCCGCCCGCGCUCAGGGCACAGCGUGCGGCCCCGCGGCGCCUGUCAGCGUGCAAACCCGCCCGCCUGCUGCUUCCUCCGCCGAACAGGCUGCGCGGAACGCAGAGCCUGCGCAAUAGCUGCUGUGAAGUUCCUGAUGCCCUGAACUCUGAAUCUCUCCAAGCCAGGCAGGGCAAGGUUGAGUUGCCGCGUUUUGGACCGCAGAAGCCCACUCUCGGAGCCAUCUCCUUUACAAUUGUGGAAAGGGAUCAGUUCUCCUCGGUUUUAGCCGAAAGGGUUAAGUGCAUACGGGAGACCACUGGAGCGAAAGUCUGCUGUUGAACUAGAUAAGGCAACAGCGAAAAGCACUCAAAAUUGAUGUUACAGCUUCACUCCCUUAUGAUAGACUUAAUGUGAUUUUUAUUAAGGAUUCAUACUUUUUCUUAGAGGUCACUGCCAACUUUAUGUCUGCUCCAGAGAUUAUUCCAAAGGCGUUUAAAAGGAGGAAAGGUGAAGUAAGCAACGCCUUUUUCAGCUAGACAAAUGUAAGUACUUUUAAGACAGUGCGUUGUGGUCAAGGCACGAAUAGAAGAUCCUUGCUGUUUUUCAUUGAUAUUGGAUAACUUUGGGCCUUCAUCAUCCUAAUAUCCCACACUUUCCCCAUAUCAAGCCCCAGAAAUUAUGUCUCUCUCUUUGUGCCCUCUUAUUAAUCCAUGCCCAUUGUCUCAACAUAGUCAACCAGUUAAUGUAGGCAAAUUUAUUCUUUUACAUAAUUACAAUGUAAUGUUUAUCCUGUGCCAGCUGUGUUGUUCCAGGCACUGGGCCAUUGCACUAAGAAUACAGGUGUACAAACUGUAUACAAAUUAGGUAAUUUAAACAUACACAAAUAAUUGAGAUUUUUGAUAGUCAAUUGUCAUUCAACUCCAUAAACACUGAAUGGUUUCAGUUUGUUAGAUACGACCCUAGGUUUUAGGAAUAAAAAACUUCAAGGACCCCUGGUGCCUGUAAAGUGAUACAGUCAGGAAACAACUACCGUGAAGUGGUAAAUGCUACAAUGGAAACCAAGAUACACAGAUUAAGAGAUUUCUGAUAAAGGACCUGUGAAAAGCCUCAAAGAGUUUAGUGAAGGAAUUUCCUCUGUUCUUCACUCUUUUUCUUUUUGUUUUUAAGUAUUUAUUUA
Long non-coding RNA from Leopardus geoffroyi (Geoffroy's cat), 1726 nucleotides. RefSeq lists it as uncharacterized. NCBI's taxonomy places the organism in Eukaryota, Metazoa, Chordata, Mammalia, Carnivora, Felidae. The record is from RefSeq and is a predicted model, not a curated record. The transcript is spliced from 2 exons.